AUGCUCACUUCAGCAGCACAUAUAUUAAAAUUGGCAUGAUACAAGGAAGAUUAGCAAGGGCUCUGCACAAGGAUGACACACAAAUGCAUGAAGCAUAAAUACAAUCA
This is a small nuclear RNA of Dromiciops gliroides (monito del monte), 107 nucleotides long. NCBI's taxonomy places the organism in Eukaryota, Metazoa, Chordata, Mammalia, Microbiotheria, Microbiotheriidae. The record is from RefSeq and is a predicted model, not a curated record.